This 69-nucleotide transfer RNA is filed under the name Marmota monax (woodchuck). Its description in RNAcentral is "tRNA.Ala". The record is from RNAcentral. Lineage: Eukaryota; Metazoa; Chordata; Mammalia; Rodentia; Sciuridae.
GGACUGUGGCUCAGCGGUAGUGCACUCGCUUGGCAUGUGUGGGGGGACUGGGUUCGAUUCUCAGCACCA